RNAcentral lists this ribosomal RNA (136 nucleotides) under Sargassum nigrifolium. Lineage: Eukaryota; Phaeophyceae; Fucales; Sargassaceae. The record is from RNAcentral.
GAUUUGUCUCUAUGCCUAGAUUUAUACCCGAACCCUUACCGAAUUCGAGUGUCCUCGUCUAGGUAGCCACACAUACUAGUUUUUCUGGGAACCAUGGCUCCUUAAAAUUUUAAUUAUGUGUAGAUAAAAAGUUUGC